GUACCCUCAAGCUCUGCUUGGUGUUGGGCGUUUGUCAAACGACUCGCCUUAAAACAAUUGGCAGCCGGCAUACUAGCCUGAAGCGCAGCACAUUUUGCGCCUCUUGUUAUUGCGUUGGCAUCCAUCAAGAUCUUUUGC
This 138-nucleotide unclassified non-coding RNA is filed under the name Sphaerellopsis hakeae. RNAcentral describes it as "partial internal transcribed spacer 2". Lineage: Eukaryota; Fungi; Ascomycota; Dothideomycetes; Pleosporales; Leptosphaeriaceae. The record is from RNAcentral.